ACGCCCGAGCCAUCGGAGCUCCCCCACCACCCUCUCAUUGGGGUUGGGUUGGCUGGGUCUUUCUUUCUCCAUGUCACAUCUCACUGCAGCUCCGCCAUCAGAACCACCGUCGGCGGCGGUGAAUUCAUUGUACAAACAGAAAUCGUGGUCGCCGGACACGUUUCGCGAUGAGGCGUGGCAGCGGCGGAAGGGUACCCAUGGAAGCCGCUUAAAGCAGCGGAGCAAGAGCGUUACCGAUGAAGACCUCGAUGAGCUCAAGGCUUGUAUUGAGUUAGGGUUUGGAUUUGACUCGCCUGAAAUAGAUCAACGAUUGUCUGAUACUUUCCCGGCUUAUGGCCUUUUUUACGCUGUUAAUAAACAAUAUGCCGACACCCUUUCGAAGACUUCUUCUUUAUCGUCGGUCAUCUCCUAUUGCGAGUCACCCGCUCCUCCCGGCAGUCCCCACACCAUUGUCGAUCAAGGUAAUUCGAUAAAAGCCUCUCCUUUACAAUUUUUAUUCGUACUCUUUUAUUUUAGAAUGUUCUGAAAUGCUUAACACAAAUUCCAUUUCUUUUGAACUAUCCUUCACUCAGAAAAUCCAAAUUCAUUCAUCUAAUCAAAAUGAAAUUUGAUUUUAAAUUCUAAUAUGAAAUCCUCUAUGUGAAAUUAACUUUCAAUUAUAAUGUCUUUUACAAUCAGUAAAUACUACUCCUAUAUAAGUUAAGUUCUAUAUAUUUAACUUAUUGCCCUGUCAUAAAAAAAGAGAUUACCAGAUAAUUUAACCUUAAAAGUUUGUUAAUGUAAAGAACAGUUGAGUGCCUAUGGGAACUCUCCGCCCUUAACUAAAGGUCUUGAGUUUAAGCCCUAUGAAAGAAGAAACUCUUGAUAGAGAAUGCUUCCCUCAUAGUGGUUCUACGGGCGGCUAAUCUAGAUUAGUUGGACAAAUGAAUUUAGAUUACCGGAUGAAUAGAUGAAAAAAGAAAAAAAGGAUGCCUAUGUUUUAUCUUUUGUUCAAUGCACAAUUUAGUUUUGCCUACACCCCUUCCCCAUUUUUUUUGGGGGGGAUGAGUGGUGGUGGGGACAAGAUUCAUAUAAAGAACUAUAGUGUUGAACGUAUGGUUGCUAAUAUUUGCAAAAAAUGAAUGUAGGAGAUAAUCCUCAGACAGUGAAGACAAGGUUGCGGCAGUGGGCACAAGUGGUCGCUUGGUCAGUUCGUCAAUCUUCACAUUAAUGGAUGCUGGAUGUUGUAUGCUAGAUAUCUGUUAAAGAUGAUGAUUAUAAUUACUGUACCAGCAAUAUGUUUCGGGGCAUUGAAGCAAGAAGGAACAGAAGCUAAAAAGUCAAUAGUUAAUUUGAAAAAGUAACCCAGCGAUGAACCAACUUGUUCAAUCUUAGAGCUAAUUGUGUGUUGAUAUGAUUUUCAUUAAUAUAAUUGUGCUGCAACCAUAAAUGUAACUGGUCCACCACCAACAAACUCUUGUUGAUUAAUUGCUAGUAG
Molecule: long non-coding RNA, 1477 nt
Filed under: Nicotiana tabacum (common tobacco)
Lineage: Eukaryota; Viridiplantae; Streptophyta; Magnoliopsida; Solanales; Solanaceae
Description: long non-coding RNA (NTAB_LNC019618)
Source: RNAcentral